AAGCGGCGACGUGGAGCAAAUCUCAGAAAACCGGUCGUAGUCCGGAUCGCAGUCUGCAACUCGACUGCGUGAAGUCGGAAUCGCUAGUAAUCGCGAAUCAGAAUGUCGCGGUGAAUACGUUCCCGGGCCUUGUACACACCGCCCGUCACACCAUGGGAGUGGGUUGCACCAGAAGUAGCUAGUCUAACCGCAAGGGGGACGGUUACCACGGUGUGAUUCAUGACUGGGGUGAAGUCGUAACAAGGUAGCCCUAGGGGAACCUGGGGCUGGAUCACCUCCUUAAACGAUA
RNAcentral lists this ribosomal RNA (289 nucleotides) under Nitrincola sp. A-D6. RNAcentral describes it as "partial 16S ribosomal RNA". It matches the Rfam family "Bacterial small subunit ribosomal RNA", at positions 1252 to 1533 of the family's 1533-position model. Lineage: Bacteria; Pseudomonadati; Pseudomonadota; Gammaproteobacteria; Oceanospirillales; Oceanospirillaceae. The record is from RNAcentral.